This 253-nucleotide ribosomal RNA is filed under the name uncultured bacterium. RNAcentral's name for it is "partial 16S ribosomal RNA". It matches the Rfam family "Bacterial small subunit ribosomal RNA", at positions 524 to 776 of the family's 1533-position model. The record is from RNAcentral.
UACGGAGGAUGCAAGCGUUAUCCGGAAUGAUUGGGCGUAAAGCGUCCGCAGGUGGCAAUGUAAGUCUGCUGUCAAAGCGUCUGGCUCAACCAGAUAAAGGCAGUGGAAACUACAUAGCUAGAGUAAGGUAGGGGUAGAGGGAAUUCCUGGUGUAGCGGUGAAAUGCGUAGAGAUCAGGAAGAACACCGGUGGCGAAAGCGCUCUGCUGGACCUUAACUGACACUGAGGGACGAAAGCCAGGGGAGCAAACGGG